CCUACGGGUGGCAGCAGUGGGGGAUAUUGCACAAUGGGGGAAACCCUGAUGCAGCGAAGCCGCGUGGGCGAAGAAGUAUCUCGGUAUGUUAAGCCUUAUCAGCAGGGAAGAAGAAAUGACGGUACCUGAGUAUGAAGCACCGGCUCAAUACGUGCCAGCAGCUGCGGUAAUACGGAGGGUGCAGGUGUUAUCCGGAUUUACUGGGUGGAAAGGGAGCGCAGGCGGCACGGCAAGCGUGAUGGGAAAGCCCGCGGCCCAACCGCGGGACGGCCGUGGAAACUGCCGGGCUGGAGUGCCGGAGAGGUAGGCGGAAUGCGUGGUGUAGCGGUGAAAUGCGUAGAUAUUAGGAGGAACACCAGUGGCGAAGGCGGCAUACUGGACGGUGACUGACGCUGAGGCUCGAAAGCGUGGGGAGCAAACAGGAUUAGAUACCCCUGUAGUC
Molecule: ribosomal RNA, 442 nt
Filed under: uncultured bacterium
Lineage: Bacteria
Description: partial 16S ribosomal RNA
Rfam family: Bacterial small subunit ribosomal RNA
Source: RNAcentral